Molecule: ribosomal RNA, 497 nt
Filed under: uncultured bacterium
Lineage: Bacteria
Description: partial 16S ribosomal RNA
Rfam family: Bacterial small subunit ribosomal RNA
Source: RNAcentral
GAUGAACGCUGGCGGCGUGCCUAAUACAUGCAAGUCGAGCGAACGGACGAGAAGCUUGCUUUUCUGAUGUUAGCGGCGGACGGGUGAGUAACACGUGGAUAACCUACCUAUAAGACUGGGAUAACUUCGGGAAACCGGAGCUAAUACCGGAUAAUAUUUUGAACCGCAUGGUUCAAAAGUGAAAGACGGUCUUGCUGUCACUUAUAGAUGGAUCCGCGCUGCAUUAGCUAGUUGGUAAGGUAACGGCUUACCAAGGCAACGAUGCAUAGCCGACAUGAGAGGGAGGUCGGCUACACUGGAACAGGAACACGAUGCAGAGUCCUACGGUAGGCAACAGUGUGGAAUCUUCCGCAAUGGGCGAAAGCCUGACGGAGCAACGCCGCGUGAGUGAUGAAGGUCUUCGGAUCGUAAAACUCUGUUAUUAGGGAAGAACAUAUGUGUAAGUAACUGUGCACAUCUUGACGGUACCUAAUCAGAAAGCCACGGCUAACUACGUG